AUAAAAUCUACACAUUCUGACCCAUAACCAUGAUAAUAGAACCCGGUUACCUCAGGGAUAACAGACUAAUCUUCCUUAAGAGCCCAAAUUGACAGGAAGGCUUGGCACCUCGAUGUUGGCUUAGGAGCCCAGGGGGUGCACCAGCUCCCUACGGCAGGUUUGUUCAACCUUUAAACCCCUACGUGAU
Molecule: ribosomal RNA, 187 nt
Filed under: Levinsenia demiri
Lineage: Eukaryota; Metazoa; Annelida; Polychaeta; Paraonidae
Description: partial large subunit ribosomal RNA
Rfam family: Bacterial large subunit ribosomal RNA (bases 57-187)
Source: RNAcentral